AAUUCCAUUUGCAUGUAACCAGUCCAUAGCGCGAGCAAUAUCAAGUGCAUAAUUAACUACUACACGAAGAUCUAGUUGUUUGGGCCGAAUACUGCUCAGAUAAUUUUUCAGUGACAUUCCUGGCAGUAGCUCUGUCACAAUCACCAUGAAAGGGUCUUUGCAAGCUCCAAUGAACUUGACAAGGUUUUCAUGGUUCACUCUAGACAUCAUGUUUACUUCCCUAAUGAACCGG
This 232-nucleotide unclassified non-coding RNA is filed under the name Hevea brasiliensis (rubber tree). The record is from RNAcentral. Lineage: Eukaryota; Viridiplantae; Streptophyta; Magnoliopsida; Malpighiales; Euphorbiaceae.